UCAGACAAUCGUUGGAUAGUUAUAAUCGAUCGGAGAUUGAAUCGUAGCAGCGAUUAGAGUUAUUACCCUGAUAACGAGCAGAGUUUAGGGAUUUAGAGGGUAAAAUCCCGAGCUAUUAUUUACAAAAAUAAAAGCUGACGGAAAGAGAAGAAUUGAACAGCGAUCGAGUUAAUACCCGGCAUCGUAGCAGCACUUCGUGACCCGUGUGUGUUUAAUUGCACUACUACUGCUCUAAUUCGACGUACAUAGUGAGAAUUGACGUCGUUUCAAUCACAGAAAGCAAGUGCCAAUGUCUGCUAUUUAUACACGAAAUUUGGCAGGCUUACGGACCGUAAGCCAUAUCCCUUACGGUCCGUAAGGGAAGCACUCUAUUUAUAGGCUGCCUAGGUUCGGGACUAGCCUUGCUGACUUGAUGAUUUUGACCAAUAAGAAUUAAACAACGUUUUAUAUUGAUAAUCGUUAGCUAGGGUUUACCCCCUUUGAGUUUUAGGGGCCCUGAUCCUGAUUUCGAUUGUUCUGGAAAUUUUAGGGUUUAUGCAGAAUCACUUGGGUGUCUCAAUUAGGUUUUCUUAUUGGAUAAUUAUCAUAUUAAAUAUUAAUUUUAGUGAGAGUUGUUACACUAACUGA
Molecule: long non-coding RNA, 627 nt
Filed under: Helianthus annuus (common sunflower)
Lineage: Eukaryota; Viridiplantae; Streptophyta; Magnoliopsida; Asterales; Asteraceae
Source: RNAcentral